GAAUUGACUAAAGAAUUAGCAAUUCUCAAAGCCCGAUUGCUUCUAGGGACCACCCUUUGAUUCAGCAACCUGCAUCCUGUCAUGUUGGAUGAUUUGGGCAAAGGAAUGAGAUAGAACAUCUCCUGUAGAAAAGGAACAGUUAUCCAACAAGGCUGCCUUAGAUAGCCAAUCAGCUGCUUGAUUUUGCUCCCGAUAAAUAUGAAAAAAUCUGCA
Molecule: long non-coding RNA, 213 nt
Filed under: Elaeis guineensis (African oil palm)
Lineage: Eukaryota; Viridiplantae; Streptophyta; Magnoliopsida; Arecales; Arecaceae
Description: long non-coding RNA (EGUI_LNC079254)
Source: RNAcentral